RNAcentral lists this ribosomal RNA (253 nucleotides) under uncultured prokaryote. RNAcentral describes it as "partial 16S ribosomal RNA". It matches the Rfam family "Bacterial small subunit ribosomal RNA", at positions 525 to 777 of the family's 1533-position model. The record is from RNAcentral.
ACGGAGGGUGCGAGCGUUGUCCGGAAUCACUGGGCGUAAAGGGCUCGUAGGUGGCCAACUAAGUCAGACGUGAAAUCCCUCGGCUUAACCGGGGAACUGCGUCUGAUACUGGAUGGCUUGAGUUCGGGAGAGGGAUGCGGAAUUCCAGGUGUAGCGGUGAAAUGCGUAGAUAUCUGGAGGAACACCGGUGGCGAAGGCGGCAUCCUGGACCGACACUGACACUGAGGAGCGAAAGCCAGGGGAGCAAACGGGA